AACUGUAAAGCUGAAGAAUGAUCGUACGUAGGUUCGCAUCGAUACAAGGAUCGUAUAAAGGUUUAUUAAGGAAAAUUGGAAGAUUCACAAGGAUGAUGUGAAAAAAUGAAAAAUAAGGUAAUGACUGAACUUAGGAUCGGAGUUGG
This is a long non-coding RNA of Gossypium arboreum, 146 nucleotides long. RefSeq lists it as uncharacterized. The record is from RefSeq and is a predicted model, not a curated record. The transcript has 3 exons. NCBI's taxonomy places the organism in Eukaryota, Viridiplantae, Streptophyta, Magnoliopsida, Malvales, Malvaceae.